This 337-nucleotide ribosomal RNA is filed under the name Armadillo officinalis (oak-woodland pillbug). Its description in RNAcentral is "partial large subunit ribosomal RNA". The stretch from base 1 to 157 matches the Rfam family "Bacterial large subunit ribosomal RNA", at positions 1797 to 2021 of the family's 2925-position model. Lineage: Eukaryota; Metazoa; Arthropoda; Malacostraca; Isopoda; Armadillidae. The record is from RNAcentral.
CGCCUGUUUAACAAAAACAUCUCCUAAUUUCCAUUAGGUAGAACCUGCUCACUGAAUUUUUUAAAAGCCGCAGUAUCCUAACUGUGCUAAGGUAGCAUAAUCAUUUGUUAUCUAAAUGAUAACUAGUAUGAAUGGUCUGACGAGAAAAUAACUUUCUAAAAAGAAAUAAUAAAAAUUUAUAUUAAAGUAAAAAAGCUUUAAAAACUUAGAAAGACGAGAAGACCCUAGAACCUGUCUAUCUGCAUAGUUUGUUGGGGUGACAUUUUUUUAAAACAAAUAACUAUUUUAACUCAUUAAGAGACUUAACCUAUCUUUUAAAAAAAAAGAAAAAGGUACU